Molecule: ribosomal RNA, 1002 nt
Filed under: uncultured bacterium
Lineage: Bacteria
Description: bacterial SSU rRNA
Rfam family: Bacterial small subunit ribosomal RNA
Source: RNAcentral
AGAGUUUGAUCAUGGCUCAGAACGAACGCUGGCGGCGUGCUUAACACAUGCAAGUCGAGUGCGCGUGCCGUAGCAAUACGGUAUGGCGCACGGCGCACGGGUGCGUAACACGUGGGCAAUCUGCCCUCCGGUGGGGAAUAACCCCGCGAAAGCGGGGCUAAUUCCGCAUAACAUUCCCUGGACUCUGGUUCGGGGAUUCAAAGCAGCAAUGCGCCGGAGGAGGAGCCCGCGCCCGAUUAGCUAGUUGGUGAGGUGACGGCUCACCAAGGCAAUGAUCGGUAGCUGGUCUGAGAGGAUGGCCAGCCACACUGGAACUGAGACACGGUCCAGGCUCCUACGGGAGGCAGCAGUGGGGAAUCUUGCGCAAUGGGCGAAAGCCUGACGCAGCGACGCCGCGUGGGGGAUGAAGCUUCUCGGAGUGUAAACCCCUUUCGACCGGGACGAAUGCCCGCAAGGGAGUGACGGUACCGGUAGAAGAAGCCCCGGCUAACUACGUGCCAGCAGCCGCGGUAAGACGUAGGGGGCCAGCGUUGUUCGGAAUUACUGGGUGUAAAGGGUUCGUAGGCGGUGUGGCAAGUCGGGAGUGAAAUUUCUGGGCUUAACUCAGAAGCUGCUUCCGAAACUGCUGUGCUAGAGUGCGGGAGAGGCGCGUGGAAUUGCAGGUGUAGCGGUGAAAUGCGUAGAUAUCUGCAGGAACACCCGUGGCGAAAGCGGCGCGCUGGACCGUUACUGACGCUGAGGAACGAAAGCUAGGGGAGCAAACAGGAUUAGAUACCCUGGUAGUCCUAGCCCUAAACGAUCAGGACUUGGGGUGCCUUCCGUUCGGAAGUCGUCCCGGAGCUAACGCGUUAAGUCCUGCACCUGGGGAGUACGGUCGCAAGACUGAAACUCAAAGGAAUUGACGGGGGCCCGCACAAGCGGUGGAACAUGUGGUUCAAUUCGACGCUACGCGAGGAACCUUACCUGGGCUCGAAAUGCUUCUGACCAGCUGUAGAAAUACGG